RNAcentral lists this ribosomal RNA (410 nucleotides) under uncultured bacterium. Its description in RNAcentral is "bacterial SSU rRNA". It matches the Rfam family "Bacterial small subunit ribosomal RNA", at positions 1 to 408 of the family's 1533-position model. The record is from RNAcentral.
GGCCGCGGGAUUAGAGUUUGAUCCUGGCUCAGAUUGAACGCUGGCGGCAUGCUUUACACAUGCAAGUCGAACGGUAACAGGGAGCUUGCUCCGCUGACGAGUGGCGAACGGGUGAGUAAUGCGUCGGAACGUGCCGAGUAGUGGGGGAUAACGCAUCGAAAGGUGUGCUAAUACCGCAUACGAACUGAGGUUGAAAGUGGGGGACCUUCGGGCCUCACGCUAUUCGAGCGGCCGACGUCUGAUUAGCUAGUUGGUGAGGUAAAGGCUCACCAAGGCGACGAUCAGUAGCGGGUCUGAGAGGAUGAUCCGCCACACUGGGACUGAGACACGGCCCAGACUCCUACGGGAGGCAGCAGUGGGGAAUUUUGGACAAUGGGCGCAAGCCUGAUCCAGCCAUGCCGCGUGUCUGA